UCAAAUUUCAUAACUAAUGUUUCUAUACAAGUAAUAUGUGUCCUCGUGAAUGUGCUGCAACUGAAUCCUUUCUCUAAUUUUUCAGCUGUACUAAGAUUAGUUGUUUGUGCAGAAUGAAGGCCUUUGUGAUGCAGGUUGAGGAGGUAGACGACUCGGAAGAGGAAGAUGAUAACAGUGAUGAGAAUGGCUGGGCUCUUGUCACCAUUGGAGCGAGGUUCUCAUGUAAUGGUCUCGAAUCUAGGGAGAGUUCGGUACUGCAAUUUAGUUCCUACAGUAAAUUGCAUUUUCCCUAUGAAAUUAGCGUGCCGUAGUUUGUCAAUAUCACCUGAAUUGGACCAUCUGAAAUUCACAAGCUUUACCUCAACGAAAUAGGAAGACAUUAGAAAUUUUGAGUGCCAGCCUGUUUGCUUGUAGAAAGAUAGCUUGCAAUGUUAGCCUGCUUUUUUGUUUGUUUCACAAGCUUCAAAUAUUCUACAGUGCUGAUGGUGAUGGAGGGGUUUGGUUACAGUGUAUUGGUGUACAACCCUCCCAAGUUUUCAAGCAUUUUAGUCUCCCAUCUUUUGCAAUAUAGAAAGUCUCAUGAUACAUUUUCUUCUGCAAUGUUAUUUAUAGGAUUGUAGUACAUGUUCGGUUCAGUGCUCCUGGCAGCUAUAAUUGUUGUUGGUAUGUGCACCCCUCAUCCUCCUGGUUACUUCUCACACAAAAAAAUGGUUUUUGUGUAGUGUUGGGCGAAGCAAGCGGCAUGCGGCCCGUGCGCCGUGAACCACUCCAACAAGUGCCCGGCGUGCACAGACGUCAAUGGCUUGCAUGAGCGCGACAAGGGGGCUGAC
This 830-nucleotide long non-coding RNA is filed under the name Triticum aestivum (bread wheat). RNAcentral describes it as "long non-coding RNA (TAES_LNC006296)". Lineage: Eukaryota; Viridiplantae; Streptophyta; Magnoliopsida; Poales; Poaceae. The record is from RNAcentral.